CAGCAGCCGCGGGAAUACGUAGGUCCCGAGCGUUGUCCGGAUUUAUUGGGCGUAAAGCGAGCGCAGGCGGUUAGAUAAGUCUGAAGUUAAAGGCUGUGGCUUAACCAUAGUACGCUUUGGAAACUGUUUAACUUGAGUGCAAGAGGGGAGAGUGGAAUUCCAUGUGUAGCGGUGAAAUGCGUAGAUAUAUGGAGGAACACCAGUGGCGAAGGCGGCUCUCUGGUCUGUAACUGACGCUGAGGCUCGAAAGCGUGGGGAGCAAACAGGAUUAGAGACCCGAGUAGUCCCUGUCUCUUAUACA
Molecule: ribosomal RNA, 301 nt
Filed under: uncultured bacterium
Lineage: Bacteria
Description: partial 16S ribosomal RNA
Rfam family: Bacterial small subunit ribosomal RNA
Source: RNAcentral